Molecule: long non-coding RNA, 374 nt
Filed under: Homo sapiens (human)
Lineage: Eukaryota; Metazoa; Chordata; Mammalia; Primates; Hominidae
Description: non-protein coding lnc-RFX7-3:1
Source: RNAcentral
CACAGUUGCCUGCCCUGGGCGGGGGCGAGCGCGUCCGGUUUGCUGGAAGCGUUCGGAAAUGGCAACUUGCGCGGUGGAGGUGUUCGGGCUCCUGGAGGACGAGAAUUGGAAAAAACUACUUUAAAGUUCAUAUGGAACCAAAAAAGAGCCCGCAUCGCCAAGUCAAUCCUAAGCCAAAAGAACAAAGCUGGAGGCAUCACACUACCUGACUUCAAACUAUACUACAAGGCUACAGUAACCAAAACAGCAUGGUACUGGUACCAAAACAGAGAUAUAGAUCAAUGGAACAGAACAGAGCCCUCAGAAAUAAUGCCACAUAUCUACAACUAUCUGAUCUUUGACAAACCUGAGAAAAACAAGCAAUGGGGAAAGGA